UAGGUAACGGCUUACCAAGCCGUCGAUCGGUACGGGUUGUGAGAGCAAGAGCCCGGAGAUGGAACCUGAGACAAGGUUCCAGGCCCUACGGGGUGCAGCAGGCGCGAAACCUCCGCAAUGUGAGAAAUCGCGACGGGGGGAUCCCAAGUGCCAUUCUUAACGGGAUGGCUUUUCAUUAGUGUAAAGAGCUUUUGGAAUAAGGGCUGGGCAAGACCGGUGCCAGCCGCCGCGGUAACACCGGCAGCUCUAGUGGUAGCAGUUUUUAUUGGGCCUAAAGCGUCCGUAGCCGGUUUAAUAAGUCUCUGGUGAAAUCCUGUAGCUUAACUGUGGGAAUUGCUGGAGAUACUAUUAGACUUGAGACCGGGAGAGGUUAGAGGUACUCCCAGGGUAGAGGUGAAAUUCUGUAAUCCUGGGAGGACCGCCUGUUGCGAAGGCGUCUAACUGGAACGGUUCUGACGGUGAGGGACGAAAGUUAGGGGCGCGAACCGGAUUAGAUACCCGGGUAGUCCUAACUGUAAACGAUGCGGACUUGGUGUUGGGGCGGCUUUGAGCUGCUCCAGUGCCGAAGGGAAGCUGUUAAGUCCGCCGCCUGGGAAGUACGGUCGCAAGACUGAAACUUAA
RNAcentral lists this ribosomal RNA (621 nucleotides) under uncultured archaeon. RNAcentral's name for it is "bacterial SSU rRNA". It matches the Rfam family "Archaeal small subunit ribosomal RNA", at positions 238 to 859 of the family's 1478-position model. The record is from RNAcentral.